GGAGAAGUUUAAUACUUUCUUGUGUACUACCAAUUUUUUUUUCCUUUUUUUUUUUGAAAUUCAGGAGGUUCUGGGUCGAAGCUCGUAAUCUCCCCAGGCCCGAAACCACAUCAUGUAUUAUUAGUUUCGUCCCAAGCAUCACUCGAACCGGCGACCUCUAAGCUUCGCCUAGGGUCUUUACCAAUUGAGUUAACAACACUUGGUCGUGUACCACCAAUUACUCUCUUGUUCCCUUAAGAACCGUAUCAAAACAAUGGAACGCUCUCUUCAACGACAAGACGUUCAUCAACAACCACAAGACAACGUAUCGAUUCAUCUUAACAACCAAAUUCAAGAUUUAUUCGGUAAGCAUUCAUCCGAAGAUAGAAAUAUAUGAAUUAACCUU
Molecule: small RNA, 385 nt
Filed under: Arabidopsis thaliana (thale cress)
Lineage: Eukaryota; Viridiplantae; Streptophyta; Magnoliopsida; Brassicales; Brassicaceae
Description: ATSL280440
Source: RNAcentral